Molecule: ribosomal RNA, 1442 nt
Filed under: uncultured prokaryote
Description: partial 16S ribosomal RNA
Rfam family: Bacterial small subunit ribosomal RNA
Source: RNAcentral
GAUGAACGCUAGCGGGAGGCCUAACACAUGCAAGUCGAACGGGAUUGGGAGCUUGCUCCCAUGAGAGUGGCGCACGGGUGAGUAACGCGUAUGCAACCUACCUGUAACAGGGAGAUAGCCCAGGGAAACUUGGAUUAAUACCUCAUAGUUCUUUUGGUCCGCAUGGACUGAUAGUUAAAGCUCCGGCGGUUUAAGAUGGGCAUGCGUGACAUUAGAUUGUUGGUAAGGUAACGGCUUACCAAGUCUACGAUGUCUAGGGGGUCUUAAAGGAUGAUCCCCCACACUGGUACUGAGACACGGACCAGACUCCUACGGGAGGCAGCAGUGAGGAAUAUUGGUCAAUGGGCGCAAGCCUGAACCAGCCAUCCCGCGUGAAGGAUGACAGCGCUACGCGUUGUAAACUUCUUUUGUACGCCAAGAAAUGUUACUACGUGUAGUAAUUUGACGGUAGCGUAGGAAUAAGGACCGGCUAACUCCGUGCUAGCAGCCGCGGUAAUACGGAGGGUCCAAGCGUUAUCCGGAUUUAUUGGGUUUAAAGGGCGCGCAGGUGGGGAUGUAAGUCAGUGGUGAAAUUCUGCCGCUUAACGGUAGAACUGCCAUUGAUACUGCAAGUCUUGAAUAUGGUUGAGGUAGGCGGAAUGUGUUGUGUAGCGGUGAAAUGCAUAGAUAUGACACAGAACGCCGAUUGCGAAGGCAGCUUACUAAGCCAUUAUUGACGCUGAGGCACGAAAGCGUGGGGAGCGAACAGGAUUAGAUACCCUGGUAGUCCACGCCGUAAACGAUGUUCACUCGCUGUCUGCGAUAUACAGUAGGCGGCUAAGCGAAAGCAUUAAGUGAACCACCUGGGGAGUACGAUCGCAAGGUUGAAACUCAAAGGAAUUGACGGGGGCCCGCACAAGCGGAGGAGCAUGUGGUUUAAUUCGAUGAUACGCGAGGAACCUUACCUAGACUUAAAUGUAGAUUGCAUAGGGUAGAAACAUCCUUUUCCUUCGGGACUAUUUACAAGGUGCUGCAUGGUUGUCGUCAGCUCGUGCCGUGAGGUGUCGGGUUAAGUCCCAUAACGAGCGCAACCCCUAUCGUUAGUUGCCAGCGGAUCAUGCCGGGGACUCUAACGAAACUGCCGGCGCAAGCCGAGAGGAAGGUGGGGAUGACGUCAAAUCAGCACGGCCCUUACGUCCAGGGCUACACACGUGUUACAAUGGCCGAUACAAAGGGCAGCUACCAGGUGACUGGAUGCUAAUCUCGAAAGUCGGUCUUAGUUCGGAUCGAAGUCUGCAACUCGACUUCGUGAAGCUGGAUUCGCUAGUAAUCGUAGAUCAGCAACGCUACGGUGAAUACGUUCCCGGGCCUUGUACACACCGCCCGUCAAGCCAUGGAAGCUGGGGGUACCUUAAGUCUGUCACCGCAAGGAGCGGCCUAGGGUAAAACUGGUAACUGGGGCU